Molecule: ribosomal RNA, 403 nt
Filed under: uncultured bacterium
Lineage: Bacteria
Description: partial 16S ribosomal RNA
Rfam family: Bacterial small subunit ribosomal RNA
Source: RNAcentral
AUUGAACGCUGGCGGCAGGCCUAACACAUGCAAGUCGAGCGAGCGGCGGACGGGUGAGUAAUGUAUGGGGACUGCCCGAUAGAGGGGGAUAACUACUGGAAACGGUGGCUAAUACCGCAUACUAUCGGAUAACCCAUAUGGGAUUAGCUAGUAGGUGGGGUAAAGGCUCACCUAGGCGACGAUCUCUAGCUGGUCUGAGAGGAUGAUCAGCCACACUGGAACGGAGACACGGCCCAGCCUCCUACGGAGGAAGCAGAGGGGAAUAUUGGACAAUGGGCGCAAGCCGGAUGCAGCCAUGCGGCGGGUAUGAAGAAGGCCUUAGGUUUGUAAAGUACUUUGAGCGGGGAGGCGGUACCCGAAGAAGAAGCACCGGCUAACUCCGUGCCAGCAGCCGCGGUAAUAC